RNAcentral lists this transfer RNA (68 nucleotides) under Ictidomys tridecemlineatus (thirteen-lined ground squirrel). RNAcentral's name for it is "Spermophilus tridecemlineatus (thirteen-lined ground squirrel) tRNA". It matches the Rfam family "tRNA". Rfam says of the family: Transfer RNA (tRNA) molecules are approximately 80 nucleotides in length. Their secondary structure includes four short double-helical elements and three loops (D, anti-codon, and T loops). The record is from Rfam by way of RNAcentral. Lineage: Eukaryota; Metazoa; Chordata; Mammalia; Rodentia; Sciuridae.
GUUGUGGCUCAGUGGUAGAGUGCUCGCCUAGCACGUGUGAGGCCCUGAGUUUGAUCCUCAGCACAACA